UUUAGACUUAACGGCACAAUCUAGCCCACCAUUAGACUAAAAGAUAUUCGACCGGGGUACAGCCCUGCCGAAUAAGGAUACAACCUAAGCUAGAGGGCCAGAACUACAACGCACUAUCAGUAGGCCUUUAAGCCGCCACCAACAAACAGAGCGUCACAGCACAACACCAGAAAUACAAACAAUUCAAUCAAACCCCUAGUAAACAACUGAGCCACACUAUACAAAUAGCAGCACUAAUGCUAAAACGAGUAACAAGAAAGCUUCUCUCAGCACCCCUGUGCCCCAGAAAUAGAAGCCCUACUGGACACUAACAGACCAAAACAGGAAUCACUAAAACUGUCAAACCAACACCGGAGUGCCCUAAAGAAGGUUAAAAACUAUAUAAGGAACUCAGCAACACCCUGUCCCAACUGUUUACCAAAAACACAGCCUUUAGCCAAACAAGUAUUAAAGGUGCUGCCUGCCCAGUGAAGUAUUUUAAACGGCCGCGGUAUCCUAACCGUGCAAAGGUAGCGUAAUCACUUGUCUUUUAAAUAAAGACUUGUAUGAACGGCUAAAUGAGGACAACCCUGUCUCUUAUAGUCAACCAGUGAAACUGAUCUUUAAGUACAAAAGCUUAAAUAAGCACAUAAGACGAGAAGACCCGUGGAGCUUAAAACAAACACUAUUAGACCCAAAAUAGCAUAAGUUUUAGUUGGGGCGACUUCGGAAUUAAACUAAACUUCCGAGCACCGGGCCAACCACCCGCUCCUAGAUCAACAAGUCAAAGAAAGCACCGACCCAGUCACACUGAGCAACGAACCAAGUUACCCCAGGGAUAACAGCGCCAUCUUCUUCAAGAGUCCAUAUGACAAGAAGGUUUACGACCUCGAUGUUGGAUCAGGACACCCCAACGGUGCAGCCGCUGUUAAAGGUUCGUUUGUU
This 924-nucleotide ribosomal RNA is filed under the name Saproscincus spectabilis. RNAcentral describes it as "partial 16S ribosomal RNA". It matches the Rfam family "Bacterial large subunit ribosomal RNA", at positions 943 to 2581 of the family's 2925-position model. Lineage: Eukaryota; Metazoa; Chordata; Lepidosauria; Squamata; Scincidae. The record is from RNAcentral.